This 791-nucleotide long non-coding RNA is filed under the name Ursus maritimus (polar bear). RNAcentral's name for it is "lncRNA (ENSUMAG00000021853.1)". The record is from RNAcentral. Lineage: Eukaryota; Metazoa; Chordata; Mammalia; Carnivora; Ursidae.
CUGAUAUUGGCGAAUAAUGUUGUCGUCUUUAAACAUAACAAAACAAGAUCCAGAAGGCUUUUCCAUUUUUUCCUUUCAACACAAACUUUGUCAUAUUGUUUAAUAUUAACUAUUUAGAAGCUAAUUAACUAGAGUUUUGUCUCCAUAUCUUUAUUCCUAUUGACUUUUGGCAUUUAUAUUGGUCAUUAACACUUCCUCUAUAAAGAGACCAUGGGAAGGGAGGCAAUUUGCUUCCUGUUGACAGAGUUUGGAAUAUGAUUGAUGGGGGCAGAAGGUGAAACUAUGUGGUAAAAUGAGUUUUUUGCAUUAUCUGUGUAUUUCAUAUAUCAAUGCCAGUAUUUCUCAAACUGCAGGUCAAGACUCCAGAGGGAAGGGUUACAAUAUAAUUUAAGGAGUUUCAUAUAUGGGAACUAUUUAGAAGUGGAACUUGUGGGCUAUAUUGAGAGUAUCUGCAAGAAAGAGAAGCAAGACCUUUCCUUUUCCAAAUCUUAGGAAGAGAUCGUUGCUGACAUGACCUGGAUUAAUCUCUGUGGCCUGACAUGACAGAACAUGGUUGCAUUAUGAUUGGCCCUGCUUACAUUUCCUUCCCAUUCCCAGCAGACCUCAGCAACCUAGGAGCAAGUUCGAAGACAGUGGAUACUUACUGGGAUCUUGGCAGAGGAGGAGGAGGAAAAGCCAAAGAUUGCAGGGAAAGAUAUUGAUGCGAUUAUUUGAAAUAACAGGUAAUGGGAUCUGAGCUAGAUGGGGGGACAGUGGGAUGAUGCCGUCAAGUGGGAAAGAUGUAGAGGACA